UAUUUGUUAUAGUUAUGUGUUUUAGUUAUUUGCUUUAGUUGAGAUUUUUAAUUAUUUGUUAUGAUGGUUAUGAAUUUUUGUUAAUUAUUAUUGUUGUGAUUUUUAUUUGUUAUUGCAUUUAUUAUUCCUAAGAAUAUGUCUAAUGUUCAUUGUUGCAUUGUGCAUUAGCAUCAUCAACAUUAGACAUGUUGGAUAAUGAGGAAACAGUGUGUUUCACCCAAAGCACCUGUGUUAAUGAGGGCCUUAUUACAGUAAAACUCAUUUAUAACGAAGUCACUGGGACUAAUGACAUUACUUUGCUAUAUCCAUAAUUUGUUAAAUCCAUGUAAUGAUUUCAGCAAAAUUUAUAUAGCUAGGGAUUCAAGAUAACUGCUAUAUCUGUGAAUUCACAAUAUCUGUGUUUGUACCAAACAAGUUUUACUCAGUAUCUAUUAUUUCAGCUCUAUUUUAAAAUUUUGUUAGUAUUUUAUAGUUGGACAAUUCACUAAAGAAGAAGAGAAAUAAGCCAAAUUCUAAACCAUCAUCGAUAAGGGCAUGGCAUGGUGGAAACAGCUGGAGGAGAUAGGGCCAUUGGAUGCUAAUCUUCCAAGAUGUGGAAACAGCAGGUGUCCUCAACAAGACGUGUAACAGCAGAAGCACCCAACUGGACAUUGAUAGAAACAACUUGAUGAUGCAUAGCCAGUACUUGCUGAUCUUCCAAGAUGUGGAAACAGCAAAUGCACCCAACAGUACAUGGUGAAAACAGUAGAUGAACCCAAAAGGACCUGAUAGAAACAACUGGAGGAUGAAUAGCCAAAGGAUGCUGAUCUGACAUUUAUCAGCUGCAGCCAACAGAACCUUGUGGAAACAACUGGAAUAGACAAGCUUGAUGAACCUCUUUUAAGAUGGGAAAACAGCAAAUACUUCUGAAAGGACUUAGUGAAAUAAAUCUUGAGGAGGCAAGGCCAUUAUGAAUCUUGAGGCAAACUUGAUGGAUAAUGAUUUUCCAAUAUGUGAAAACACCAGCUACACCCAAAAGGAAUUGGUGGAAAGAUGGGAAAACAACAAAUACUUCUAAAAAGACUUUGUGAAAUAAAUCUUGAGGAGACAAGGUCAUUAUUAAUAUUGCGGCAAACUUGAUGGACAAUGAUUAUCCAAUAUGUGAAAACACCAGCUACACCCAAAAGGAAUUGGUGGAAAGAUGGGAAACAGCAAAUACUUCUAAAACGACUUAGUGAAAUAAAUCUUGAGGAGGCAAGGCCAUUAUGAAUCUUGAGGCAAACUUGAUGGACAAUGAUAAUCCAAUAUGUGAAAACACCAGCUACACCCAAAAGGAAUUGGUGGAAACAAUAAACACAGACAAGCUUGAUGGACAAUGAUCUUCAAAAUGUAGAUGUUCCCAACAAGACUUGGUGGAAACACCCGGAGGACAAUUUAUGCCUGAUGGAUGUUGACUUUUUCACCAAGACAUACCACAGUGAAUAGCUGAUACUGAUCAGAAAAUCAAAGGAACUUCUAGAAGGAACAUCCUUGAGAUCAUGUGUGUGGAUGAAGAAGCAGGAAUUAAUUAAUGAUUAAUCCACACCUUUAAAGCACUGAUGUAAAUCCAUUUUAGCAACAAUUUUUUCUUCAAAGACUAUUUUAAAAAUAUAAAUUUUUGUAAAGGGUGUCCGAAUUAUGUCAGGGUAUGGGGUCACCCAUUCGGACACGUGGGUUCUCUACGGGUACUCCGUCUUCCUCCCACACUGACCCCAGCUUUCUCUUUCUUCUUCAUUAGCUAUAUUAGAUUCAUAUUGUUAAGAUGAAGUAGUUGAAGGCUAGUUGUAAGUAGGUUUUAUCGAUACCCUGGGGCAUUACUGGUUGGAACUUAAGUUCCUUCGCCGCCAUGGUAGCCAGGCUGGCCUGGGGAGGAGAAGCUGAAAGGGACUAGUUGGAGGCUGCUUUGUCUUUAAUUAUCUUUUUAUUAUUAUGCCAAUGAGAAAAUGCUUCAUUAUUGUAAUUGAUUUGAUGAAGUUAAAUAUGUUUCCGCUGAUGUAAUGAUUGUUUAAUAGGACAUAAGUAUUCAUAGAAUAUGUGUAAAUUCUGUCAACUGUUGUAGAAAGAAUAAUUUGUAUUUGUAUUGUCACCUUUUCGUUAUUAGCUUGUAUUGAAAUUGAAUGCUCUAUAUAUACUGAUGUGACUAAAUAUGCAGUGAAAGAAAUGAAUAAAAAAUUGUACAAUUGCAUUUGAAAACGUAAAAUAGUGAUUUUUGUCAAUGACAAAUGUUAAAUUGCCGGUGAUUUGUAAAUGUUAAUUUGUGAUUUGUUAAUGUUAAAUCAAUGAUUUAAAAUGUUAAAUUGUGAUUGUUUAAUGCAAUUGUAAAUUGUUGAUGUGAAAAUGUGAAUUGUCAUGUUGAAUUUUGAAUUGUAAAUUUGAAAUUAUUUUUAUCUCAUUGGCAAGUUUUGUGCCAAAAAAAAAAAAAAAAAAAAAAAAAAAAAAAAAAAAAAAAAAAAAAAAAAAAAAAAAAAAAAUUAAAAUAAAACAAAA
Molecule: long non-coding RNA, 2505 nt
Organism: Saccostrea cuccullata (small rock oyster)
Lineage: Eukaryota; Metazoa; Mollusca; Bivalvia; Ostreida; Ostreidae
Exons: 4
Source: RefSeq, a predicted model, not a curated record